Molecule: ribosomal RNA, 1372 nt
Filed under: uncultured bacterium
Lineage: Bacteria
Description: bacterial SSU rRNA
Rfam family: Bacterial small subunit ribosomal RNA
Source: RNAcentral
GAUGAACGCUGGCGGCGUGCCUAAUACAUGCAAGUCGAGCGAACGGACGAGAAGCUUGCUUCUCUGAUGUUAGCGGCGGACGGGUGAGUAACACGUGGAUAACCUACCUAUAAGACUGGGAUAACUUCGGGAAACCGGAGCUAAUACCGGAUAAUAUUUUGAACCGCAUGGUUCAAAAGUGAAAGACGGUCUUGCUGUCACUUAUAGAUGGAUCCGCGCUGCAUUAGCUAGUUGGUAAGGUAACGGCUUACCAAGGCAACGAUGCAUAGCCGACCUGAGAGGGUGAUCGGCCACACUGGAACUGAGACACGGUCCAGACUCCUACGGGAGGCAGCAGUAGGGAAUCUUCCGCAAUGGGCGAAAGCCUGACGGAGCAACGCCGCGUGAGUGAUGAAGGUCUUCGGAUCGUAAAACUCUGUUAUUAGGGAAGAACAUAUGUGUAAGUAACUGUGCACAUCUUGACGGUACCUAAUCAGAAAGCCACGGCUAACUACGUGCCAGCAGCCGCGGUAAUACGUAGGUGGCAAGCGUUAUCCGGAAUUAUUGGGCGUAAAGCGCGCGUAGGCGGUUUUUUAAGUCUGAUGUGAAAGCCCACGGCUCAACCGUGGAGGGUCAUUGGAAACUGGAAAACUUGAGUGCAGAAGAGGAAAGUGGAAUUCCAUGUGUAGCGGUGAAAUGCGCAGAGAUAUGGAGGAACACCAGUGGCGAAGGCGACUUUCUGGUCUGUAACUGACGCUGAUGUGCGAAAGCGUGGGGAUCAAACAGGAUUAGAUACCCUGGUAGUCCACGCCGUAAACGAUGAGUGCUAAGUGUUAGGGGGUUUCCGCCCCUUAGUGCUGCAGCUAACGCAUUAAGCACUCCGCCUGGGGAGUACGACCGCAAGGUUGAAACUCAAAGGAAUUGACGGAGACCCGCACAAGCGGUGGAGCAUGUGGUUUAAUUCGAAGCAACGCGAAGAACCUUACCAAAUCUUGACAUCCUUUGACAACUCUAGAGAUAGAGCUUUCCCCUUCGGGGGACAAAGUGACAGGUGGUGCAUGGUUGUCGUCAGCUCGUGUCGUGAGAUGUUGGGUUAAGUCCCGCAACGAGCGCAACCCUUAAGCUUAGUUGCCAUCAUUAAGUUGGGCACUCUAAGUUGACUGCCGGUGACAAACCGGAGGAAGGUGGGGAUGACGUCAAAUCAUCAUGCCCCUUAUGAUUUGGGCUACACACGUGCUACAAUGGACAAUACAAAGGGCAGCGAAACCGUGAGGUCAAGCAAAUCCCAUAAAGUUGUUCUCAGUUCGGAUUGUAGUCUGCAACUCGACUACAUGAAGCUGGAAUCGCUAGUAAUCGUAGAUCAGCAUGCUACGGUGAAUACGUUCCCGGGUCU